This 418-nucleotide long non-coding RNA is filed under the name Brassica napus (rape). RNAcentral describes it as "long non-coding RNA (BNAP_LNC020930)". The record is from RNAcentral. Lineage: Eukaryota; Viridiplantae; Streptophyta; Magnoliopsida; Brassicales; Brassicaceae.
UUGUUCUUCAUUUUUUUUGCACGAUUUCAUAGUUUUUACAACUGAUUCUUGUGAGUUUCACCUAAUUAUAAUAGAUUCAUGAGAUAAACACCGAUUUAGCUCUUAAAAUUUCGAUUUUUGAAGGUUUUUUAGUUUCAGCGCCUAGAACCACCGAUUACCUCCUCCUCGCCACGGCAGCCUUCCGAUCACCAUUUAAUCGGGCGAGUGAACGGCCAGGCGGACGCGUUUUUGAACAGGGGUUUUUUUCUAGCCCUUGUUCCAAGUUGUUGCAAAUUAAUUUAUUCAUCUAGUACUAGAUGAAAAUCAUGGUAAAUCUGUACUUAAAUAUCAUUUUUGCAUGUACUGUGUAGUCUAAUGCACAAUUGGUUCUGACUUCUGACUAUUAAAUCUUACAGUAUUAAAUUUACACGAAUGUUAG